Pollicipes pollicipes is the source of this 1202-nucleotide long non-coding RNA. RefSeq lists it as uncharacterized. The record is from RefSeq and is a predicted model, not a curated record. The transcript is spliced from 2 exons. Lineage: Eukaryota; Metazoa; Arthropoda; Thecostraca; Pollicipedomorpha; Pollicipedidae.
GUCAGUGCGGCCGGCAGCAGGCGCCCGGCUGCCGGCUCCGCGGCAUACCGGCUCGGACGGAGGCUCACAGCACGCUCACCAGUGCCGUCACGUCAAAUGUUGUUGCCCGGAUGCGGCCGUCGGAUGCCAGUCAAGCGGACGCCAGCCCGCUGGCAGGCGGGUCGGGGCUUCGACCGGCGCGCCGUCAGCAGGGUCGAGCCGCCCAGCGCGACUCAUGAUGGUCGGUCGGGCCGCCGCUGACCGGACACUGAUGGCUGAACCGGCGCCGGAGGUCAGCCGCCGGCCCGGAACUGCUGGCGGGUCCGCCGCCUGAUGGCGACGGCAUUCACCCUGGGGUCAGCCCGGGUCAGCUUGAGGUCAACCUUUGGUCAGCUGGAGGUUAACCUUAGGUCGGCCGUGGGUCAGCCUGAGGUCAGCUGGGGUCGGUUGGAGGUUAACCUUAGGUCGGCCGAUUGUCAGCUAGGGUUGGCUGCAGCAUGCCGGCAGUACAAAGCGCGGUGCGGACGCGGCCCGACGCCGCGCGCUUCACCCGGCAGGGACUGGCUCCUCCGUUGCCGGCACUACCCGGUCCCGUCGCGCUGGUGGCGGCCGCCCCGCGUUCAGUGCAGGGUAUUUUAUAGCGCGAUCGUGUCGGUGGACGAGUCCGCCCGGUGAUAGUAUGUGUGUUGGCGCAAUCUCGUUUUAGGUCGGAUUUGUUGCAGAGAGCCUGUGCCCGGGAUCGGACGAGGGUGGCCCGAGUGUGGCUGUGCGCCCGCGCGCGCCCGGGAUGGCUGGGCUGGUCCCCGUGCCCCGGGGCGCCGUGACCCCCGAACAGCGGUAGGGGGAGUGCGGCGACGCGUCCCUCCAAGCCGGCGCAGUUAGUGAUAUGGCGUGGUGAAUUGUGGUGUAGGUUCGAUUCGACCCGGAUCCGGUAUUGCCUGUUGUCAGUGUUGACCGGCGCUGGCGUGUUGUGUCCCGGGCCAGGCUUCGCUGCUGGGGGUUUAGCUUGUUGGACCUGGAAUACACUUCCAUGUUGGGAGUUUGUCAUCGAUGUGAUUAUGCAUGGGUUGUCUAAGUCACUGCCGCGGAACUGUGAACUUUCAUGUGCUGACGCCUGAUGUUCGCACAUUGUGUCAUAACGAUAUUGUCACGUGCAGGGCAACUGUUGUCAUUUAGGCAUUUUUCACUGUUUGAAACAAUUAAACAAGAUUUUGCCUGCUCCA